This 366-nucleotide RNase P RNA is filed under the name Anaerolineae bacterium. RNAcentral's name for it is "RNase P RNA component class A". It matches the Rfam family "Bacterial RNase P class A". From Rfam's summary of the family: Ribonuclease P (RNase P) is a ubiquitous endoribonuclease, found in archaea, bacteria and eukarya as well as chloroplasts and mitochondria. Its best characterised activity is the generation of mature 5'-ends of tRNAs by cleaving the 5'-leader elements of precursor-tRNAs. The record is from RNAcentral. Lineage: Bacteria; Bacillati; Chloroflexota; Anaerolineae.
UGAGCAGGCCGGGCGGCCGCGGGUGGCCUGGUCCAUCCGAGGAAAGUCCGGGCUCCACAGGGCAGGACGCUGGGUAACGCCCAGGCGGGGUGACCCGCAGAAAGUGCCACAGAAACCACACCGCCGGCCCUGGGCCGGUAAGGGUGAAAUGGUGGGGUAAGAGCCCACCAGAGGUCGGGCGACCGACCUGCUGGGUAAACCUCGUCCGGAGCAAGGCCAAGCCGGGGCAUGGGUGGCCCGCCCGUUCGCCCCAGGUAGGCCGCUGGAGCCGGCGGGAAACCGUCGGCCUAGAGAGAUGGCCGCCCCCGGCCGGUCCGGCGCCGGGGCCGGCCGGGACAGAACCCGGCUUACAGGCCUGCUCGCCGC